GAUAUUAUUCAAUUGAGUGGUAAUUUUUGGAAUUUUGUUGUUAGGCUGGUGCUUCCGAGCAUGCAAGGACGCUUGGCCCAAAGGGGUCUGAUCCACACAAGGCAGCUGUGAUUGGUGACACCAUUGGAGACCCACUGAAGGACACCUCAGGCCCAUCGCUCAACAUCCUUAUCAAGCUCAUGGCAGUGGAGUCUCUCGUCUUUGCUCCCUUUUUUGCCACUCAUGGUGGGUUGCUUUUCAAGAUCUUCUGAGGAAUGGGAUGAUGAAAAAUACAUGGGCAAAGGGGUGAUUAGCCCUUUUUUCCCCAGUAUUUAUUGGGCACCUCUUACCAAUUCAUCUAAUCUCCAUAUCCAUCCAUCCCCACAUUGUGGGUUUUUCAAGUUGGUUUCUAUGUUUAGGGAAAUAUUAUUUUUGAAGGGCUGAUGAUGAUGAUGAUGAUAAUCAUGAUUGGUAAGGGAGGACAGGCAAAAUGGUUUUAACUGUCACAGAAGAGUCAGGAUGGUAGCGUGUUACUUUUCUUUAUACCUCUUUUUAGAACAGCUCUGUUCCUAAUUUCCUUGUAACCUUAUCCUUUUUUCCAUUAAAAGCAAGGAGAACAUGUUCAUCAAUUUUGGGUAUUUUGGCUGUCCAUUAGUGUGGAGCUUUGUAGUUUUUGUUUGGGUUAAAUGCGUGCAGGGCCUAGGUAGAUGGAAAAUGAUGCCGGUCUUUUUAACUCUUGGAUUUUAGCUUUAUCAUCUCCAAAUUUUAAAAAAAUAGAUAUAUAAGGUAUGUUUGUUAAAUGAUGUCUAACUGUUUUAUUAGUAGUUGAUUUUAGUGAAUUAUAACUUUUAUUAAUAGUUUAUUAAUAGUGAUUGAGACAGGCAUUGUUGACCUCUCUUUUUUUUCUUUUAUUUCCCAUUGCUUCAAUUCAUCCAAACGUAAAAUAGCCAAUUCCUACAGCUUUGGGAAUACUGUUGAUGAUGAUCCCAAAAACUCACUACCUAUGUAUUGCACACCAUACAUAAAGCAUAUAUCCAGCUUCUCAAGGACAGGCGGCUGCCCCAAAGGAGGCAAACAUGGACAUCUUAAGCAAGAGUCGAGGUAAAGUAUUUUCAGUUGAGCUAAUGAUGAACCCAUCAUCCAAUUGGGCCACUCUCUAUCACUAUAAUCGAAUAUACGUAGAGAUUUCAAGUUUGGAUGGGGUUGUAGAGCUUCAGCCACACCCUUGGUCCCCUCCUUUCUACCAAAUUCCAAAUCCAAACGUUGGAGGAUUCUUAUUCUUCAAUUCUGCUUUUUCUGCCUCCCCAGCAUCUUUCACUUCAUCCAACCCUUCAACGGAAAGACGUCCUCUUAGGUUGUUCAAGUUUCUCAGGUCUCCUAGUUGGCAUUCAUCAUUGCCAUGACUACUCACAAUGAAAACAUCCAGUGUCUGAAGAGAGCUUAAUCUUCCAAUUCCUUUUGGUAAGCCCUCUAGAGUACCAUAACUUUCAAGAUGCCUCAACUUUUUCUCCACUCCUCCCGUGAAACGCUAUGGUACUGAACAAUGACCGGCAUUGCUCAUUGGACAGUUCUCCUAAGGGUUGCUUGUACGUGGUUCCCAUGAUUGUAGAAACGUUUUCGUUUCGUGUGGUCACCAAAAUUCUACUUCCCGGUGCCCCACCCUUGAGAGAACUCUCUACUUGUUCCCACAAUUCAUAGUUUUCAGUCCAAACAUCGUAGCACAAGUAGGAACUUCUUAUCGGCAAUAAGUGUGCGAAUUUUUUGUUGUACAGCUUCCAGCUCAUGGAAACCAGAAGACUCUUUCUGGAGGGCUUUAAGAAUAGCUCUAGAAAUCCUCACUGGGUCAAAAGGAUCAGACACACAGACCCACACCCUUUGAUGGAAAUAGGCCUUCACCUUUUCGUGGUUGUAUGCUAAUUGAGCAAGAGUUGUUUUGCCGAUCCCUCCCAUCCCAACAAUGGAGAUGCUUUCUCGAGAACUCCCAACCAACAGCUUCUCUAUUAUAAUGCCAACAUUAUACAAUUAAGUACCCUUUGGAGUUUCCCAUUUUUUUUCUUUUAAAUUAGAAACUUUUAUAUAAAUAGAUAUCUGGUAUAAUAAAUAUAAAUUUACUUCAUAUUUUUUAAAUUCAUUUUAAAAAAUUUUAAAUUUUGAGAUAGUAAAUUUUCUUUAAUAUUUCAAUUUGUUAAAUUAUUUUUAAAUUAUCAGAGUUCUUAUAUCUUAUAUAAAGAAACUACUAUUUUCUAAUUUUAUAAAUAAAAAAAAAGCAUUUUAUAAAACUAAAAAGUGUAUCCAAACAAACACUAAGAGCCUGUUUGGUCAUUUGAUUUAAAAACAAUUUUUUGUUUUUAAAUAACAAAAAACUAUUUUUAAAAUUUUCUAACAUUGUUUUAUCGUUAUUCUCUGAAAACAUUUUUUAAAACAAAGUGAAAUAGAUAACAAUUUUUAGAAAACAAAUAAGAGUUGUUUUCACCAAUUUUUAAAAACAAAGGAAAACAUGAAUCCAUUUGAUCAUGUUUUCCGAAACUUGUAAUUAAAAAUUAUUUUUAAAUUAAAGAAUAAAAAACAGUUUUAAAAAAUAAGUUUCAGAAAACAUGGUCAAAGGACCUUAAGUGACUUGAUAAUACCUCACAUUUAUUAGGCAAAGCCCCCUCUAGGAGAAAAUUUUUGUUGGAAUCAUAACCAAGCAUUUGAAACCUUUGCAUUGAAAUUUCAAGAGCAUCCCACUUCAUCCAUUAGGUUAACAAUAGAUAUGUCCUUACAACAAAUCAGAAGAAACAUCAUGCAUGCAUGCAUGUAAGUUCCCAUCAUUCGCAAACCAUUUAUGUUGUAGGAAAUAAAUCCAAACAAUAAAGUUGAAGUUUACACAUUCUUACAUAUAUAGGCAAACCAAUGAAAGGGGAAAAGAAAAAGAGAAAAAAAAUUUACAAAUCACCAAUUUGAAAUUGAUUCAUAGACAACUUCACAAUACAUAGGUGUUGGGAAUUUUCUCCUCUUUAUUUGAACUUGCUUCUCUGAAACGAAAAACAAUAAAAUUAAGAUGGAAAAGAGAUAAGGAAAGUCAAGACAUAAAUAAAUAUCAAAGCUUGCAAGUAAAAAUGACAAAUAAUAAUAAUAAUAAAUGAUGCCUUUGGAUAUAAUUUUGAGACAAGAAUCAAGAUGGUCUUUAUUGAUAAGUUUUGAAAUUUUCUUUGCAAUAUUUUGAGCAAAUAAUCUAAUAGGUUAGGGUAUUAAAAUAUUAAUUAGUUAACAUUUAGAUCAUGUUUUUCAUUUGUUUCAUUUCUCAUUCAUUAUAUUUGAAAUAUUAUUUUUUGGAAUAAGAAAAGGAAUAAAAACUUCAUCACUAUGAAAAUUAAAUCUUACUCCUGUUGGAAUUUUGGUUUCUCUCUUGUAUGUAGUAAUAUGAUUCACCUUCGUACCUAUCUUAUUUUUUAUUCUCAUUCCCAUAAAUAGAAUUCAAAGAAACUAAGUUGUCUAAUCAAGAUAUCAAAGAUCAGCUUCACUUGGAAACACUUUUAGUUGUCUAAUUAAGAACCAUAAAGAAACUAAGGGGAAAAAAGUAGUAGGUAUUUUACACUAUAAAUAUCCUAUUUGAUAAUAUAUAACUUUCAUAAAAUUGAAUUUUAAUUAUCUUAUAUCCAAAUUCAAUUUAACAAAGUAUUAAAAAUAUAAAAACCAUUAUCAUAAUUUUAAUGAGUUUUUGUUAAUAUUUUAGAUAUUAAUUAAAUAUAUAGGAUUUUAAAUUUAAAAAUAAAAUUAUAAAUAUUUUAAAAAUCAUACAUAUGGAAUCAUUUCUUUUUUAUCAUUAAAUACAUCUAAAUUAUAUUUUUCUAUGAAAUAUAUUUUCAGUGUUAUAUAUUAUUAAUUUACUGUCGAAUAUUACAAAUUAUAUUAUACAUAGAUUAUUUAAGAAUAACAACUUAAAUAGAUGUAUUAUUUCUUGUUUUAUAAUCUUUUUUAAUUCUUUUCAAAAUAUCCAUCGAAGUCGAUAUAUUUUAUCCUUAACUUUUAAUAAAAUUUAACGGAGAUAUUAUAAGAAUGACUAACAAUCAAAGGGGAAUGUUAUAAACUUGUAGAAAUUUGUGAAUGUUACCAUCCUUGUAUUAAACCUUUCAACUAUUCAUAUAACCUUCAUAACUAUAAAAAAAUAUAUUAAUUUAGUCAUUAUGAUUAUAACCCUAUAAGUAGAAUUUGGGUUUUUAGAAAGAGAUAAUUUAGAGUUUACUUUUUCAGAAUUUCUGCUUUCAGUUCUUCGCUCUAUUUUCUUUAUUUUUACAAUUUAUAUAUAUACCCAUGGGCCUGAAACCUGAUCAAUCAUUGCGCCCAUACCACCAGAAAAGGGGAAACACUAGGCCCAUGGCCCAACAAAAGUCUACUCUAAGCCGAAAACCCCCAACUCCACCAGAAAAGAGGGAACACUAGGCCCAUGCCCAAGAAAAGUGUACCCUAAAAUGGAAUUUGAUAAUAUAUAACAUUAUAUAGUACAUAUAGAGUCUAAAGAUCACAUAAAAUCUCUUCUACACGGUUGUUGGAGGUAUUUGAUCAUGUAACAAAACACUUUUAGAAUAGAAAAGGUUUCAAGUUUUUUUGUACAAAAGGUUUUCAUUUUUAUUUCUCUUAUUUUGCAAGGUGUAGAUAUUAUAGGAUAAACACUUUAGUAACAGCGUAGAUGUGCCAAAAUGGACCUAUGGAUACAACAUAAUAAUGUUUUGCAAAAUGGAAAGCUUCAGAAAAAGAUUAUUCAUGAAAUACAUUAAUGUGUGCGAUUAUGGAUGCAAUGGAAAUGAAAACUAAGAUAAAUUCAAAUUACCUGUAACAAGAGCGACAUGAGGUGAAGCGUGAUGACCAUUCAGUCCCGUGAAUAUUCGACUUCGACUUCUGGGAUAUGAGAUAUUUUGUGUCGAUCCUCUCCGAUAUCCUUUCGAUAGCGUCGUUUCAGAAUAGGAGAACCUGCGAUGUCCAAUUUCUGCAAUGGUGUCCUCUGGAGCACGUGGUCCGGCAGUCCCUCCAGCUUUGGGCAGCCUCUCAUAAUCAAGUGAUUGAGACAUGGCAUUAUUGACCUCUCUUCUUUUUCUUUUAUUUCCCAUUGCUUCAAUUCAACCAAACCAGAAAUAGCCAAUUCCUUCAGCUUUGGGAAUACUGUUGAUGAUGAUCCCAAAAACUCACUACCUAUGUAUUUCACACCAUCCAUACCCCAUAUAUACAGCUUCUCAAGGACAGGCAGUUGCCCCAAAGGAGGCAAACAUGGACAUCUUUUACAAAACCAGAGGUGAAGUAUUUUCAGUUGAGCUAAUGAUGAACCCAUCAUCCAAUUGGGCCACUCUCUAUCACCAUAAUCGACUAUACCUAGGGAUUUCAAGUUUGGAUGGGGUUGUAGAGCUUCAGCCACACCCUUUGUCCCCUCCUUUUCACCAAAUUCCAAUGUCAAAUAUUGGAAGUGUACCCUAUUCUUCAAUUCUGCUUUUUCUGGCUCCCCAGCAUCUUUCACUUCAUCCAACCCUUCAACGGAAAGACGUCCUCUUAGGUUGUUCAAGUUUCUCAGGUCUCCUAUUUGGCAUUCAUCAUUGCCAUGACUACUCACGAUGAAAACAUCCAGUGUCUGAAGAGAGCUUAAUCUUCCAAUUCCUUUUGGCAAGCCCUUUAGACUCCGAGUAUAAUUUUCAAGAUGCCUCAAAUUAAUUAGUUUACCCAUUGCAUGUGGUAGUUUCUGAAGACUUGAACAUCCUUCAAUAUUUAAGGUUUGCAAAUUAUAUAAAUCACAAAUUGUUUCAGGCAACUCUCUCAAACUUUCACACCAUGAUAGAUUAAGGUAUCUUAAGUGUAUCAAUUUUCCUACCUCCUUAGGAAGUUCCUCAAUCCAAUCAUUGCUGCUCAAAUCCAAUGCCCUAAGACAUGUCAAAUUGCCUAAGGCUUCAAGAACUCUUGAAUCGAAUGCUUCCUUAGCCAAGAGGGUGUGAAGAUUCUUCAUGUUACAAGUGGAGGCGAAAUUAGGGGUACUCUCUCGGACAACUAAGGUGGCAUGACGAAUCUUUUGGAAGAAUAAGUCCAUACUCCCCUUUUUUUGGUUGUCAACCUCCACAAUAAAGCAUUCAUUCUGAGUCAAAAAUUGAGCAAAAUCAUGCACUAUAUCAUGCAUCUCACAACGUAUUAUAUUACCAUCAGUAUCUUUUUCAAAAUCUUGGAAGAAAGACCGAGCAGCUAAAUAUUCAAAGUACGUUCUCCCAACCAUCUCCAUCUCUUUUCUCCCAUCAGAUUUGAGAUAGCUUUGUGCCAUCCACAACUUGAUCAGCUCAGCUCUCACAAUAACCGAGUCUUUUGGAAAAACAGCACAAAAUGAGAAGCAGCGUUGAAUUGCAGGGGGCAGAUCAUAAUAACUCAACAACAAAGCAGGGGAAAUAUCUCUCUCAAACUCAUCUAGCUGCCAUACUUCACUAUUCAAUACGUUCUUCCAUUCUUCCUCGCUAUUUUUUAUGCGCAAGAGGUUCCCUAAAGUUUUUAUAGCGAGGGGCAAGCCCUUGCAUUUGUCUGCUAUUUUCUCACCAAUUUCUUUUAGUUCUUCCUCUUUCUCCCAACUACGCUUUUCAAAGAAAGCUAUUUGAUGGAAUAAUGCCCGAGAUUGCUCCAAAGACAGCUCCCCUAAGGAAUGCAUGUAUGUAGUUCCCAUCAUCUUAACAACACUCUCUUUACGUGUGGUCACUAGAAUUCUACUCCCUACAGCUCCGCUGGUGAGAGUGUUCCUCAGUUGUUCCCACAAUUGAUGGUUUUCGGUCCACACGUCAUCUAGCACAAGAAGGAACUUCUUUCCGGCAAUACAUGUUCGAAUUUCUUGUUGUACAGCUUCCAAAUCAUGGAGAUGACAAGGCCCUUUUUGGAGGGCCUCAACAAUAGCCCUACAAACUCUGAAUGGGUCAAAAGGAUCAGAAACACAGACCCAUAUUCUCUCAUCAAAAUGGGCCUUCACCUGUCGGUGGUUGUAGGCUAGUCGAGCAAGAGUUGUUUUGCCCAUGCCUCCCGUCCCAACUACGGAGACGAUGUGGAGGCCAGAUUUCUCUAGACACUUCUUACCCAACAAAUGGUCUAAUAUCAUUUUUUCAUCCAUAUCCCGACCGUACACCUCUGAAAUAUCAAUUGCAGAGGUAGUUAUAAGUCGCUGUGGUCGCUCCUCACUCCUACUAGAGACAAAAUUAAAAUCGGUCCGCUCACUUGCAACUUGCUUGAAACGGAUGAAAGGGGAGGGCAUACAGAAGCUUACCUUCGUCUUAGACGUGGAAGCAUUUUCAACUCCCUCCAUCUGGAAUUGAAAAAUAGCAAUGCUCCACUCAUCCAGCACGUCCAUCAUUUCGUAGGCCAUGUCUUUGAGCCUCUCCAACCAACCUUGGACAGAUUUUUCCUUCACUUUUCUCCUCUCGGCAUCUUCAAGAACAUCUCGGACGGAGAGGAGUGUGUUUUUGAGACUUUGAAUUUCGGAUUCAACACCCGAAGCCAGAGAAACUUGUUCAUGAAUCUGCUGUUCAACAACCGAAGUUAAGCGUUCCAGCACAAUAGAAACGAGGGUAUCAGCCAUGGGGAGGGUGAAGAAGGUGGGAUUGAUGAAUGAAGAGGAAUGGAGGAUGAAUAAAGGCCAGUGAGAUGAAGAGAUCAGAUCUGCAGCUUUGGAGGUCAACCCUUUUGGAGGCCGGUGGGGCCAGAGGGAUGCAAUAUCGAGGCUUUGGGAGCUACUUUAUUUGAAUUGUUGAGCUUUUUGGAGCUUUGCUUUAUACGGUUUGUAUUAUUUGAGGCUAGUGGGGCUUCUUUAUUUGAAUCAUCAAGGCUUGCUUGAUAUGCAUGAUUGAGGCUGGUGGGGUCAUUAAAUAAUCGUACAUAGCUUUGAAUCAAAAUCCAGAUAAAUUAAUCCCAUCAUCUGACUGAAUAUUCAGCAUAUUAAAAUAGCCUUCAUUCAAUUAUUAUGGCUCCUUACAAUUAAACUAAUUAGUAAUUAGCUUUAAAUGCUUUAAAUUUUAAAAGUUUUAGUUCAAGGACAAUUUUGAUAUUUAAGCCCAUUAUUGUCCUUUAAAAAUUAUGAAAAGAGACUAUCCUUCUCAAUAAUUAUUACAUCUAGCCCACCUUAUCCUAUAAUUUUUUUUUUUUUUUUUUGUUGCUUUUGGCUUAUUAAUGGUAAUCUUGGCAUUUAAAAAGAAGACCUUUAAGAAAUUAUGACAUUUUCAACCUACCCUUUACAACACUCACCCAGGUUAAUUUUUUUUACCCCGCCCACCCUAAAUGAUAAUUUUCCCUUUUUUUUUUCUCUUCUAAGAUUAAAGUUUCAAUAGAAAUUAAGAUUAAGAUUAUAAUUGAAAUUGAAGUCAAAACUAGGAUUAAUGUUAAAAUUGAAAAUUAAAGUUAUAAUUAUAAUGAAAAUUAAUUUUAAAAUUAAAAUUAAGACUAAGAUUAGUAAAGUCAAAAUUAAGACUAAAGUUAAACUUAAAGAUGAAAACAAGAUUAAAAUUACUAAAAUGAACAUAAAAAUUCAAUCAUACAAAUAAAAUUUUCUUUUCAUUUAUGAGAUUAAAAUAAAAAUCAAGAUCAAAACCAUCACAUAAAAAUUAGAAUUAACAUUAAAAUUAGAAUUUAAAUUGAAAUUAGAAUCAAAAUUAAAGUCAAAACUAAGAUUAAUGUCAAAAUUGAUAUUAAAAUUAAAAUUAAAAUGGAAAUUAAUAUAAAAAUUAAAAUUAAGUUUAAGAUGAGGAUUGAAAUUCAGGUCAAAACUAAUAUUAAAAUUAAAGUCAAAGUUAAGACUAAAGUUCAAGCUAAAGAUUAAAACUAGAAUUAAAAUUACUACAAUUAACAUUAAAAUUGACAUUGAAAUUAAGAUUACAAAUUCUAAUUAAACUAAAAUUAGAAUUAAGAUCAAAACUAAGAUUAAAGUUAAAAUUAAAAUUAAAAAUCAAAAUCAAAAUUAUCAAAGAAUAUAUAUAUUCUUUAAUUACCUAAAUAAUACAUAUUUAUUAUAGUUCUUAAUCUUAUUUAAUUUUAAUUAUUAUUUUUUUAUUAUAUAUAUGAAGUAAUAUAAAUAAAAAAUAUACUAAUAUAAGUUCCUCAAAUAAUAUAUAUUAUAUUAUUUCAUAGUAACUUUACUAUCAUCAAAACAUUAAUAACAUACUGUGGACCCCGCAUUUCGGCUCAAUGCGUUUCCCACUCGAAUGGCGAACUUGAUUUUUGUUUCUGAAAAAUGAUAUUUCUUGAUUAAGAAAAAUUGACUUGGAGUCGCCACUUAUUUUUGUUUUAUUUUUAAAGGGUAACAAAAUAAGAAAGAAAACCCUAAGUGUGACUCCUUGUUUUGGAAAAGGUGGUCUGUGAAAAACCUGAUCGGGCUCGGGGGUCAGGUUACUUAUCGGGAAGGUACGGUACGGACCAUAGCACCCCUCUAAGUCCCUAAAGUCGGGUCUCUACUAAUACAAUGAAACAGACGUGGCAAUCAACGAGAAAGUCAAUGGAUACUUACCUAAAUCAUACACAAUAUGGGAAUCAAAACACGCAAUAGAGAUUGACUAGAAUGAGAGUGGAUGCGUACCUCGGCCACGAGCCACAAUGCGCUAUCAAGAAACGGGAUUAGUGCACAAUUAAUGAAUACAAAAUAUAGCCCAUACAUAUCGAAGUGCAAAAUGAAGAUCAGACAAAAUACAUCAAGUGCAACAGUUGACAAUCGAAAGGGAUCAAACAUCGAGCCCCCACCAAGGCCCAAUUUAUGGUUCAUGAAUUAGUGUUACAAAUUUUGUGUUCUAGAAUUACGAAUAAUUUAUCUUUGCUUACGUAGAAUCAAGAAGAUCAGAAGAUUAUUUAAAAACCGAAAUGGAAUUAAAACUAUUCGAGUGAAAACAGGAUUCUUGGAAUUUAUUUGAAAAUUGGAGUCUUGGGAAUUAAAUUUAAAAGAUUAGAGCUCCGGUAAUUAAAUUGAAAUUUGUUAAAGAAAAUGAGAAACAGACUUUAGGAAAUAGAACUGCGAGACCAUGGACUUUUGAAAGUUGAAUUUGUAAUAAUAGUAAUAAUAAAAUUUUGAAAGUUUGAAUUAAUGAUAAUAAUAAUAAUAAGGUUUUGAAAGUGUGAAUUAAUAAUAAUAAUAAUAAUAAUAAUAAUAAUAAUAAGACUUUGAAAGGUUGAAUUAAUAAUAAUAACAAUAAGAUUUUGAAAGUUUAAAUUAAUAGUAAUAAUAAUAAUAAGAUUUGGAGAGUUCGAAAUAAUAAUAAUAAUAAUAAUAGGAUUUUGAAAGUUUGAAUUAAUAAUAAUAAUAAUAAUAAGAAAUGAACUUUGAGAAAUUAAACUGCGAGAAUAUAGAUUUUGAAAAUUGAAUUAAUAAUAAAAAUACUAAUAAUAAUAAGAAUAACGAGAUUUGGAAAAUUGAAUUAAUAAUAAUAACGACUAUGGUAAUAAUAAUAAUAAUAAUAAUAAUAAUAAUAAGGAUAAUAGUUAAUAAUAAGAUUUGGGAAAUUGAAUUAAUAAUAAUAAUAAUAACAAUAAGAUUUGGAAAAUUGAAUUAAUAAUAAUAAUGACUAUGGUAAUAAUAAUAAUAAUAGUAAUAGUAAUAAUAAUAAUAAUAGUUAAUGAGAAUAGUAAUAAUAAUAAUAGUAAUAAUAAUAAUUAAUAGUAAUAAUAAUAAUAAUAAUAAUAAUAAGGUUUUAAAAGUUGAAUUAAUAAUAAUAAUAAUAAUAAUAAUAAUAAUAAUAACAAUAAUAAUAAUAAUAGGAAAUUGAAUUUGAAUAUUUAAGUAACAAUAAUGUAAAUAGGCUUAGGACAAUGGUUAGGAAUGGGCUUAAGACAAUGGCUACUUAAAUUGAGCCCUUUAAUGGGCCUAAGGUGGGAAGAAGUUUCAAAGAAAACUAGUGGGCCUUGGGUGCAACUAACAGUGCAUUUAGAGGUGAUUCCAAAGUGGAGAAAGGCCUUUAAAUGGUAUUCACGGGCCUCCUGGCAGCCCAAAGAAGGCGCAACACGCACAUCACUCCUGCAAGCAAGCAAUUUCCGGCAACUCGUUCUUGGUGCUCCUAUUCCACGGCCCCCCUGAGUUGGAAGCUUAUUCCUGUCGACCCAGACAGCAACAAACGACGGACCACCAACAUCUGAGGUGGCUCAGAUCUCGGUCUUCGCCGUCGAAAAAAGAUAGCUGAUGUCCGCCAGAGCCAAAUCAUGAUCAGUCCCAUUCCUAGGCCCGCCAACAGGAAGAUCAUGCCUGCAAUGCUGGUUAGGAGCAGCGGCCGCCGUUCGAUCCUCUCGAAUAAGGAAGUGGCGAUAAGGAUGAAGCGGGUCUUGACGAAUCCGACGACGACGGUGGCGAGUAGCUGGUGUUCAGAAUUGAUGCAGCGGCGCCGAGCCCAAAGGUGGCUCCGACGAGGCUCGUGAGGAAGGAAACUGCUGCUUAGCUGCUGCCCAUUUUCCAGCCAUAGGAGAAAGCUCACACACGGAGAGGUUCGAGUGGUGACGGGUAUGAGGAUGUAGAGAGAGAAAUGGUGGUGAGGGGUAGGUUAGAAAAAUGGGUAUGAGAUGAGCUUUAGAGAAAGAGAGAGGGAGAGAUAGGUUGAAAUAUGGGUGUUAGAAGGUGGACAUGAUGGAUGAUGCGUGGGAACCAAGGUGCAUGGAGAAUAGCAUUACCAUGCAUGGCCAUGCAUGGCCAUGCGAAGGUGGAGGGAACGAACGUGGAGGGCACCUAAAAGAGGAUAGAUGGGUGGGGUGUGGUGUAGAGAGAGAGUGUAAUGGACGAAAGAUGAAAUGGGUUAAAGGGUCUGAAGAAGGUUUAGAGUGAGAAAAUGGGCUUAGUGGGGCGGUGCGAUGGGUAGAGUGGGUGGCAACGGGUAUAAAGAUAUUAGAGAGAGAAGUGGGUUGCUUCAGGCUUGUUUCAUGCAAGCUGGGAGGCACGUCACUCACAUUCUGGUCAACAUCCAGCCUAAACUUCCCAUGUAGAGUAUGCACUUCAUUCACAUCAUUUGUUCUUACUGACCCAAGAGAUUGGCCUGCCGAUGGCUGGUAUACGUGAAGCUUGUAGUUCCAUUGAAGACGGGAAGAGGGAAGCGCUGGUGGGACUGCUAAUGGUACUAAAACUGUGAGCGUGGGUAUCAAGAUCUUCUCUGCUAGCGCGACUGGGAGGAUGCUCAUGAUAGUCACUAUGUAGGACUUCAUCCCUGGAACUUGGAGCUCAUGAAAAAGACUCGGAUCUUGAUCUGGAAAAUUAUCUUCAGCGUAAGCUCGAACCAUUAAAUUCCGAGUAAUUAAGUCAGAUUCAGACAUUGUUGAAUAUUGCAUAGGCAUCACCAUGAGGACUACAACCUCUCAAGAAACAUUGAUAACUCCGAGAUGCGAUUUUAAUGUAGCGAUUUUCAUUCUCCUUCCAGCCUCACCCAAACUAACCAGAGAUUCACAGGUUUUAAAAUAAAAUAAAACGCGCGUGGAAGAAUGAGAAAACAGAGGGUAAAACAAUGCAAAUCUCAAGAAGCAAACAAAGAAUAUCCCAUGACAAUUAUAUUGAGCCUCAUUCCAAGUGUAAAUCCUUAGGCUAUGGGCCGUGGAAAAACGGAGAACACAAACACGAUUCGAAUGAACCCAUACGCAUGAUAUCUCCAAAUGAAAUCAAAGAACGAGAGAAUAGCAGAGCAAAACACGUUCGAGCAGUGAAUGAAAACUAAAACCCAUAAGGAAAAUGCAUGAAGGACAAAUGUGAUGAGAAAUAUGAUCAGAAAACUUACGAGGCUAGCACCUGGGAGGGCUUAUUCUCAAAAAAACAAAUCAGGAAACCCGUGGGUUUUUUCUUGCUCCUGCUACCCUGCUACCAUUCUUUCCAGACCUCCCCACUGCCCUCCUGCCCUCUGCCUCCUUUUCUUUAGCUUCUCCUCCAAGCCAUUUCUGUACCCCGUCCCAUCUGCCGUAAAAAAAAAACCUACCCAUCUCGUCCUAUGGCCGCCCUGUUUUGGCUGCCACCCCCAACUCAUUCUCGGGUUCUGAAGCCGAGAGAGAAAAAAGAAAAGCCAAAAGAAAAAGCAAUAAAAUAAUAAUCCCAAAAAAAAGGAAAAAAAACCUGCUACCGCUAUUGAGGGGGUCUACACAUACUAAUUAAUAAUUAAAUAGAUCAUAUAGCUAUUUAUCAUUGUUACUAAUAUUACAACUUAACAACAUUGUUCAACGAUAAAAUCACUCAAUUCAUUAGGAAAUAAUACAAUCAAUGAUGAAAGUUUUUUAAUCAAAGAAUAUGGAUAAAAAAUUAUAUUUUGUGAUGCAAUUUUAAUUUGCCUAUAAAUUUUCAUUGGAAAAAUCAUAUUUUCUUGUAGAAAUAAUACAAUCAAUGAUGAAAGUUUUUUAAUCAAAGAAAAUGGAUAAAAAAUUAUAUUUUGUGAUGCAAUUUUAAUUUGCCUAUAAAUUUUCAUUGGAAAAAUCAUAUUUUCUUGAAGUGUAGACAGUAGUAGCAAAAAAAAGUCACAUUUGUAACCACACCACUAUAAUUAUUAUUAUUUUUUAUAUUUUUUUUAUGGCCUAGUUGUUAUUAAAAAAAUUUUAAAAUAAUUAUUUUACCUUACUUUUAAUUUGGAACUUUAAUAUAACAACAAAGUGGUCACUUAUGGUUAAAAUUUUGAAUAAUGAAAUUAUUUUUUCAUCUCUCGACUUUCAAUCAAAUAUUUGUAUUUACAGUGGUCCACUACCCAACACUUUGUGACUAUAAAUUCCCCAAAUGUGUCAGCACCUUCACUCCGUUGUCUCGUUCGACUCUCUCUCUGCGCCUCUUCAAGAUGCUCUCCUUCCCUUCCUCAAAAUCUUGCCCAACUGCAAAACCAGUGUUUCCGAAUCUUCACUCAUAUCUCUCAGAUUCCUUUUCUGGAUCCCAAUCUUUCUCUUUCAACCCACAAACUGGAUUCAACCUCCACCCGAAAUCUCUCCAAAUCAGAGCCAUGGAGGCCUCCCUAGACUACCACUUUGGAACCCAAUUGCAAACCCAUAUCAAAACACCAACAAGCCUCAAAAUCGCAAUCAUUGGGUUCGACAACUUUGGCCAGUUUCUAGCAAAAACCUUCGUCAGCCAGGGCCACACCGUCCUCGCCCACUCUCGCUCUGACUACUCCGACACGGCUGCUAAGCUCGGCGUUUCCUUCUUUAGUGACCCGCACGACCUUUGCGACGAACACCCAGAAGUGGUGAUGCUAUGCACCUUGAUCAUUUCGACAAAAUCCGUGCUCAAAUCGAUCCCAUUUCAUAGACUACGGCGUAGGACGCUAUUUGUGGACGUUUUGUCGGUGAAAGAAUUUCCAAGAAGCUUAUUUCUCGAAAUCUUGCCUGAAGAGUUCGAUAUCCUCUGUACACACCCAAUGUUCGGUCCGGAGAGUGGCAAAAAUGGGUGGGUAGGCCUUACUUUUAUGUGCGAUAAGGUCAGAAUUGGAAACGAUGAUCCUAGAAUCUCAAGGUGUGGGAGAUUGUUGGAUGUUUUUGCAAGAGAAGGGUGCAAAAUGGUAGAGAUGAGCUGUGUGUUUAAUCAACCAUUAUAAAUCCAAGAACUCUACAUAAGAAUCUCAUGUUAAAUCAUAUAAAGAAAUGUGCCUGAACGUUUUAUGGAAUGCGAACAUACUGAAUCCAGACUAACCUGAGUUCAUUGUGGGUGUAGAUGAAUAAGGUAUGGAUCUUCUAAGGCUGUAGAGGGCUAUCCACCUUUUAGUAAUCUCUUUGAUGAUGGGAGCAAGAGAGAACGAGUUUUGUUCUUUAUUCAAAAGAUGUGAUCAUUUGAAGAACAGACACUUACCCUUUAUAUACCCUCCUGCCUUAGGGACCAUACCCUUUGGGUUAUUGGGCCUCACAAGUCUUAGCCCAUCAUCUAAGGCCUGUGAUGACAUUGGGCUCUACACAUAAGGUUACCCAUACUCUAGAUCAAUCAACAAUCAUAUAUAUAUAUAUAUGGAUAGCUAAAUCCUGAAUAAUGGUUAAUAUGAUGUGAGUCCACAUUUAUUCUAACAAUCUCCCACUUGGACCACAUAUAUUAGCCAACAAUGUUCAUGAUAAUACUUCAUUGAGCUCAUCUUUGCUAUCCUAUUCAAAUAUCCUUAAACAAUCUGGUCUACUAAUUAUGCUAACAUAGCAUCAAAGCGGCCUUCAUUAAUCACAAUUAUAACUAAACCCAUCAAUGAUCACAACAUUAACAAAAUUAGCAACAUGGAUCAAGUAUGGAUGUGUAGCAUGGAAAUUACAUAGAAUGUGAUAUUUAAUAUGUUUAUUUCCAAUUGGUCCUACUUUAUGACUAAAAAUAGUCAAAUUCCACUUUCAACACUUGAUGCUAAACUGCUUCUGAAAGUCAUCAUUUCAAUUAAGAGUAUUCAAAGACAGUAGUCUUUAAAAACAAGGUCUGUACAGAUAAUACAAACAUAAUAUCACAUCAAGAAAACAAACACAAAAUCUAAAUACAAACUCCCACUAUACUAGCACAUCAUCAAUGUGUACAACACCCAUAUGUGUGACAUGCUCAUGAUAUACUUUGGGUGGCAAACCCUUAGUGAGUGGAUCCACAAUCAUGGAGUUUGUGUGUGGACCCACAUUUUUCACGUGCGUCCCCACUCGAUCGGCGAGACUCGCUUUUUAUUUGUGAAAAAUUAAUUUUUGGAAAAAGUUGGAGUCACCACUUAUUUUAUUUUUAUUUUAAAGGGAAAAUAAAACAAGAAAGAAAAACCCUAAAAUGUGACUCCAUAAUUUUUGGAAAAAGCGUGUCUUUGAAAAACUCGAGUCUAAGUCUGGGGAUCAGGUUACCUAUUGGGAAGGUACCUUUAAAAGGUAGCACCCCUCUAAGCCCUAUAAAGGUCUCUACUAACUAAGUUGACGGAAAUAUGACAAUUAAUCGAUUGAUCAUAGAUACCGAAGUAGGUUAGGUGAUUUCAAAUAUUGCAUGCUUAAAAAGAGAACAAACCAUAAGAGAGAGUCGAAGUGCGUACCUGAACGACUUCUCAAGCGCUAUCAUGAAACAUAAGAGUUAGUGUAGAAAUCUAUCACACAACAUGUGUCUUAUCUGGGCUAAUCUAGUAUAUAUUUAAACACCUAAGAAUCACAUCAUGCAUGAAUAUAGUCACCAAUAGCAUACGUGUCCAUAGAAUUCUCGAAAAAAGGAUGAGAAGGAGCGUACCUGGAUAGCAAGCUAAAACGCCUUUACGGGAAGCAAGGUUAGCCCAAUAACAAAUAUAAAACAAAUUCAAGCAUAUCUCUAAGAGGAAUCAAAAUCAAUUAAAUACCAAACAAUCAUCUUUAAAAUCAAUAUUAGUGAAGAUAUCAAGAAUGUAGGACCACCCACCAAAGUCCAUAUUGCUUUUGCACGAAUUGAUUCAAUGAAUUCCAUUGUUUGGAAUCAUGAAGUUUGUUCAUGCUUAUUGAAAAUCGGUUGAAAAUCAAAUAAAAUAGUGAAAACGUGUGCCGGAAGGAAAAUGGCAGCAAAAGGGUGUUGAAAUCUGGAUUUUAUUGCCUAGAGAAGGUCUAAAGAUGAAUUUUUCAAAGUUGAGAAUGUUUAGUUGAACAAUGAUUCAAAAAUUCAAUUUAAAACAAUAAGUUCCCAAUCAAAGAAGCGAAUAGAGGAGAAGGUGGAACGUCGGCCGGAUAGAAUGGCGGCUGUGAGAUAUCCGGAGAGAGUAGGAUGUCGGCCGGAUAUAAUUGCGGCUGUGAGACAUCCGGAGAAAAUGAGAUGUCGGUCGGAUAGAAUGGCGGCUGUGAGACACCCGGAGAAAGUGGGAUGUUGGCCGGAUAGAAUUGCGGCUGUGAGACAUCCAGAGGGUAGGAUGUUGGCUGGAUAUAAUGACGGCUGUGAGAUAUCUGGAGAGAGUAGGAUGUUGGCCGGAUAGAAUGGCGGCUGUGAGACAUUAGGAGAAAGUGGGAUGUUGGCCGGAUAAAAUUGCGGCUGUGAGACAUCCGGAGAGGGUAGGAUGUCGGCCGGAUAGAAUGGCAGUUGUGAGAUAUCCAGAGAGAGUAGGAUGUUGGCCGGAUAGAAUUGCAGCUGUGAGACAUCCGGAGAAGGUAGGAUGUUGGCCGGAUAGAAUGGCUGCUGUGAGACAUCCGGGUGGAAUUGGUGAGAAUUUCCGUCCGGGUGGAAUGAGCGAUGCCAUAAACUAAGAACCCUCAAGAACUAUGGUAACCUCUGCAUCUGUUUAACUCCAAGAAAAACCGUUUUACACAACCUUUAUCAAGUUCCCAACUUUCUCAGAAUGCUCAUGGACUCCAUAUCCGAGAAUACCAAGGUAAAGAAAGGGAAGAAACGUAGAUACAGAAGCACGCAAAAAAGACCAAGAAAGAGAAGAAAAUAAAACAGGGGAAAAGAAGACAGUCGGUGGGUGUUUUAAAGCCAGAUUAGGACACAAAUGGGGGCAAGACCCAUAACAUCGAAUUCAAAGGUAAACUUAUAUUCAGAUUGCUUUCGGAUGGAACCAAAGACAUUAAAAGGAAUAUUAAAAUAGCAUAAAUAUGCAAGCAAACUAGUCUCAACUAAUCAAAUUGUGGCCCUUGCGUCCACACCAAAUGACAAGAAUGAAUCUUCAGAAAACUAAGAAGUCAGGAAAGAUUGAAACUGAAUGGUGAAAUAGCAAAAAUCUGGAAACAUACAUGCGCGUUCUCCUCUCCAAUUGCUUGGUUCCAAGCUACUGUACCUUUUCUCGACUGAGAAAUCUGCUCUCAAACCUUUUUCCGUCCACCAAUCUUCUCCCUUCCUAUACGUAUUUCAAGUCCCUCUCUUCUAUGCCUCCUUUCCGACGAUCCUCUCAUGCACCCCCUGUUCUUUUCCUUUUCUUCUUAUAUUCGUAUCAGCCUCUCAAACUCAAUAUGUUCAAGAGAAUCCACUUUCCUUUCUUCUAUUUCCCUUCCUUUUUCAAAAAUCAGAAUGCUCUCUCUCCUCUCAUGCAAGAUAUUCUCUUACCAUAUGUAUGCAGCCACGUUAAUUCAUUUUUCCUCAUAAAAUAUUUCUCUUACCUUUUUGAGCGCACGUGCCUUAGUGAGAGUUGAAUAGCAGCCCAUAUUCUUUUAUCAAACAAUAGAAAAACAAAAAUAGAGAGAAUAAAAACAAAAAGAGUUAGCAAUCUUGCAAACUAUCAAAUAUUAAAAUAAAAUAAAAAUAAAUAAAGUAAAACAAAAUAGUUGAAUAAAAUAGUCAAUCCUAUGCGGGCCAUGCAAGUCACACAAAAAGUGAGUCUAAAAGUGCUUACUGGGCCAAGUGUGUCUAAAUGGGUUUAGAGCGGUGUCUAAUGGGCCAAGUGUACCUAAAAGCUAUCCUAAAAAUGAACGAAAAAAAGCCUAAGUCUAAAUUAGGGCUGUCAAGAGUCACAAUAAGGGGUCAGAUAAUCUCUCAACCAAAAUCUCCGAGGUGACUCAGAAAAAGGUAAGUUGUACGAGUAGUAAUGGGCCACCAAGGAGUUAUUAUGGAGCAUUAAAAAUGAAUUUAAAGACAUGUGCUAAAGGGACAAAAUUGAGGGUGUACAUUGUGCUUAUGUGUUCAAUUGAUACUUGAAGACUUUGAACUCUUUCUUUCACAACCAAGAACUUGAUGUCAAUGUGUUUAGAUUUUGACGAACUUCGGUUGUUCUUAGAAUAUAAUUUUACAGCCUUAUUAUCACAGUUGAUUCUCAAUGGUUUCUCAAUCCCAUCAAUAAUUCACAACUGAGUGAUAAAAUUCCGCAGCCAUAUCCCAUGGUUUGAUGCCUCGUAGCAGACUAUGAAUUCUACCUAACAUUCCAACAAUGUACGCAAUAUACAGACGCAUAUAAACUUGUGCAUACAUGAGACUUCCUACUGUUGAGGCAUAGGGAAACCUCUCCAUAUCCUUUUUCUCAAGUUCAUUUUUCGGACAUUGCUGCAAACUAAAUUUAUCGCCUUUUGCCACAAGCGUGUCUCCUGGUGCACAAUUGCUCAUGCCAAACCUUCUUAACACCUUAUCGAUGAUCGCCUUUCAUUGAUUUCAUCUCAUCCUUCAUGGCUUCUAUCCACUUUUUAGAGUCAGAACUUUGUUUGACUUGACUAACUGAAAUUGGAUCAUCUUCCAGACCCAUGUGAAACUCAUAUUCCUGGAGAUAUAUAACAUAAUCAUCUGAAAUUGUACUUCUCCUUUCUCUAGUGGAUCUCCUCAGUGGCACUUGUACUUGAGGUUCUUGAGGUUGUUGAGUUACCUCUUCAUGAACUUGAAUUGGUUCCAUAACUUGAGUAGGAGGAAUCCCAGGUGUGUCUACAAUCUCUGUUAUUGGUUGUACAUUCUGGAUAGUGUCAUCAAUCAUAAUAUGACCAUGUCCAGUUGUAAUAAUAGGAAUACUACCAGAUUCCUCUUCAAAGACCACCUUUCUUAAUGAUUCUCUCCCACUUAACUCAACAUCCUCAAUAAACUUAGCAUUGCCCAUUUUAAAGAAGGAUCUAGUUGAGGGGUCAUAAAUAAAUAUCAUGCAUAUAUGAAUAAAUAAAAAUUUAAACAUAUAUAUAUAUAUAUGCAUGUGAGCCUAUUACAAGAUACCUAGCACAAACAUUAAUAUUCAGUAUUUGGAAAAAAAUAUCAGUUUGUAAUUGUUAUCCUUUGACAAAAUUAAUUCAUAAAUAUUGACAAUAAAACCGAAGCAAUAUGCCUAUCUUUGGACUGACAUACAACAAGUAAGAUAAACUUUAUAUGUCACAUAUUUAUGACUACUUUAUUUAUUAUUAUAUUAAAAUAAUCUUCAUUUGGGCCGAUUAUUUUAAAUAAUAAUAAUAAUAAUAACAUGUUUAGAUAUUAUAAAAUAAAUAAAUUAUGUAAUAUAAGUUACUUUGGCAACUAAUAUACAUUCAUUUAUUUUAAAAAAAAAAUAUUAAACACAAAUGGAGCAUAAAAUGAUGGGAAAAUUUUCCGAUCCAUCUUAUAUAAAUUAAAAACUGAGGGUCCAAGGUUGGACUGCAAAAGAAGGUGGUCCACCAUCUCCCUAAAAUUCUUGUGCAUGCAGCACCAGCUUGGUAGCAACAUGGCUUCUUUUAAUAGAUUAUCAAAUAGUCAAAAUGUUUACCAAAUAUGCAAUUUAAACAAAAAAUAUACUUUAAUAGGGACUUUACAGCCUGAAACUUUCGCAUCCCUCAAAAGGGCAAUCCCCAAUCCCUUCUUCUAUGGUGUCCAGAAAUGAUCCAACUAGGACUUAAAAAAAAAAAAAAAACAUUCACCCUCCACCAAGUAGCCUUCACAUAGACUAAGGAUCAACGGAAUUUUAUCAAGGAUUAACAAACCUUUAUAACUGAAAGUUCAUUGGUGGCAGAAUCCAAAUUGUCACCCUGCCUGAGUUUAGAUACCAUAUAAUAAUUUGGUACCCAUGCAUCAUAAACAUGGAUGCACAAUAACCAUUUUUAUAGCUAUCAAGGUAUAUAUGACAAUAAACAUGUGCAUAAAUAGACACAACUCAAUAUGGGAAAUAUGAAGUGAACCUGGGCAUAUUAAUUAAUAAUUUUUAUUUUUAUUUGUUAUAUUUUUAUUAUUUUAUUUUAUUUUUAUUUUUUAUCUUAUCUCAUCUUAUGUAGCCCCAAACAACCCAAGGUCGUUUGCAACCACGUCACUCUUGGAGCGGCACCAGUAGCGGUGCCGGAGUUGUCCUCGAGCCACCGAUGGCGAAACGUUGUCGCCAUCACCGGAAUGGUGAUUUCCCAUUUCCAAACGACGGCGCCACCACCGGAAUGACAUUGUAACGGCAUUGCUGGCAAGCAGCCCUACCUGUGGCGCGACGCCGUGAUGAGCAGAUGGCGUUUGGAGUGCCUGAAAGACGCCUUAACGGUGUCUUAACGAGGCUUGGAAACGACGCUGCAAACGGCGCCUGGUAUGGCGCCUGAAACGUGCUUUGAAUGGCGCCUGAAGUGGCCUUGAAUGCGCAACCAACUGGUGCAGUGAAGCGCGCCUUGAAUAGCGCUUGAACAGCGCCUGGUAUGGUGCCUAAAGUGCAUUUGAAACGACGCUCUUCACCGACAUCGGAUGACCCUUGAAUGACGUCUUAAACUCCUGUAAGGAGGCCUGCAACAACGCCUUCAAUACAUUAUAUAUAUAUAUACUACAGCCCAAAAGACCUAAGGUCCCCUGUAACCGAAUCAUGCGUAGCACCAAAAUGGCAUUGGUAGGUGCAACUCCGCCAAACGACGUCGCCGAUAGGGGAUGACGCCAAAAUGGCGUCUUCACUGCGUUUUGAUUGGAAGUGACGCCAAACGGCAUCUUCGACUGAAGUGACGCCAAAUGGCAUCUGGAAAUGACGCCUAUACGGUGCUUGUAACGGCGUCUAGAACGGCGCCUGUAACGGCGUCUAGAACGGCGCCUGUAACGGCGUCUAGAACGGCGCCUGUAACGGCGUCUAGAACGGCGCCUGUAACGGCGUCUAGAACGGCGCCUGUAACGGCGUCUAGAACGACGCCUGUAACGGCGUCAUUGGAAUGCUUGAAAACGACGUCUCUUGAAUGCCUGAAACGACACCAAACGACACCUUUUUCGAGCACCAGACAGGCGCCAAAACGACGCCCCUCACUGGUGUUGCAAGCAUCACCCCCAUCACUGGUAGUGGCGCCCAGAUGAUGCCAUUUUCGCGCUGAGGUUCAUCUUUAUCCUUGCUGACCACAGCGCUAUUCCCUGCUCUCCUGAAACCCGAAUCACCACCCUCCCUAAUGGCCUCCGAAUCGCCACAGAAUUUCACCUCCUAGGUCGUGCCGCGGUUGUUAGUGUCUGGAUCUACUCCAGAAGCCGCUUCGAGAGCGACGCCACCAACGACAUGGCUCAUUUUCUGGAACGUAUGGUGUUCGAGGGCACAGAAAAGAGGCCGGCUGAGGGUUUUGGUGAAGGAAAUUGAGAGCAUGGCAAUCCCUUGAUGAUUUAAAAAAUCGCAAUUUCUUAAUGAUUUUAACAUGCUGCUCUGAUACCAAUUGUUUAAUCAACCAUUAUAAAUCCAAGAACUCUACAUAGGAAUCUCAUGUUAAAUCAUAUAAAGAAAUGUGCCUGAAUGUUUUAUGGAAUGCGAACAUACUGAAUCCAGACUAACCUGAGUCCAUUGCUAAGGCUGUAGAGGGCUAUCCACCUUCCAAUAAUCUCUCUGACGAUGGAAGCGAGAGAGAACGGGUUUUGUUUUUUAUUCAAAAGAUGUGAUCAUCUGAAGAACAAACACUUAGCCUUUAUGUACCCUCUUGCCUUAGGGACCAUACCUUUUGGGUUAUUGGGCCUCACGAGUCUUAAGCCCAUCAUCUAAGGCCCGUGAUGGCAUUAGACUCUACACAUAAGGUGGCCCAUACGCUAGAUCAAUCAGCAAUCAUAUAUAUAUAUAUAUAUAUAUAUAUAUAUAUACGGAUAGCUAAAUCCUGAAUAAUGGUUAAUAUGAUGUGGAUCCACAUUUAUUUUAACACUGUACAGAUCACGACAAGUACUCAGCGGAGUCUCAGUUCAUAACCCACACAAUGGGGAGGGUUUUAGCGAGGUUCGGGUUAUAAUCAAGCUCCAUUAACACCAAAGGGUAUGAAACAUUGCUAAAAUUGGUGGAGAACACAGCGAAUGACAACUUUGAUUUGUACUAUGGGUUGUCCAUGUACAAUAAUAAUGCCAUGGAGCAGCUGGAGAAGUUGGAGUUGGUCUUUCAGUCUCUUAAGAGGGAACUUUUUGGGAAUUUGCAGUCUCUUUAUGGAAGGAAGUUGUUUGAAGGAGAGUGAGAGGAGAGAGACCUGGCGCAAAAGCUGCUCCUUAAUAGUGUUUUGGAUUCUUGGAAACUUACAACUCUUUAGUUGGUUUGUUUAUCAUCUGGAGGAGUGCAAAUGCAAUAGAAUUAUUGAAAAUCAAAUUUCAUUCUUAUGAUUUAUCAUUUGUUUUUACUCUAAUGGCUUGGCAUGAGAGAAUUAGUAAUUUUUAAUUAACAAUGAAUUGGUAAUUGGUUUGAGAGAUUUCAAGAAGAAAAUUGGUAAAUUUUUUUUUUGUUUAAAUAAUAUAAAAAAUAUAAGGAAAGAAAAUAUUUAGGUUAUAUUUAAGAAAUAAUUGAUAAAAAAAAUGAAAUAGUCCUCAUAUUUAUGAAUUUGUCCCUUAUGUUUUUGUUCGGAGAGUAACCAAUUUUUGACAGAAGUGUUCUUAACCCUUUCAAGUUUUAAUAAUAUAUUAUAAAAUAUUAUUUUUACAAAUAAAAUAAAAUAAAAUAAUAAUGACAUUUUUAUCGACAGGAGGGCAAAAAAAGGAUGAAGUGUUGAUUUUUAAAAUUGAGUUUGUAAUGACCAUUUUAAGAAAAUAAUCUUAUAUUUAAAUUGAGUUUCCAAGAACUUUUUAUUUUUUAAGUAUUAAAAAUACUGAACACUUUUUAUAAUAAUUGCUAAACACAUUUUUAAUUUAAAAAAAUAAGAGGAAAGAAAAUAAAAAGGAAAAAUAUAAAAAAAAGAAAAGAUUUCAAGCCAAUAAUUUUUUUUUUUUUUUUAGACUAAGACUAAGACUUUUUUUAGAAAGAUAUCAAAAUAUAACAUUCACCUUCUUCAUUUGUUAAUGUUGUAAAAGGCAAAGUUAUUAUUAAAAUAACUUAAGAAAAAAAAAAACCCUACCUUUCUCCUCCAUUAAUUUAUUCGAUAUGGGUACAAAUGCUCCACUCACAUGCCCUCUUGUAAGACCUUAGAAAGCUAAGAUUAGUGGCUUAUUCAUUGUUCUCCCUUUCCUCUUCUAAAGAGACAGUAGAACAUUAAUCUAUAUAUAUAAUAUGGUAUAUUGUACAACUUUUAAAAUUAAUUAUUAUAAAGACAUAUUAAAAAUAACAUUUGAGAUGAGGAUAAUUCAAUAUGAUAAUAUUUUUUUUGAGCUAAUAAGAGAAAUAUGUAUAACCCUAUGGGAUACAAUUAUAUAUUAGUAUGGUAAAAUCGUUCAAAUUAAUUUUUAAAUUGAAUUAAAUAUAUAACCUCCUUAACAUGGCAAUUUUUUUUUUUUUUUUUUUACUUUUAUAAUGAACUUUUCUAUAUAUUCAAACCUAUUUUGCAUAUAACAGUUAAAUUACUUCACUUCUAAACAAUUAGGAUAUUCGAUUUUAUUAGAUGAGAAAUAGGUAUCUUAGGAUAUAAUUUUAAAUAAGAUAUAAUAUCCUUAUAUAUUAAAUUUAAUGAAUGUUAUAUCUAAGAUAACAUAUUUAAUAAAAUAUGUUAUAUUAUGUUUAUAUUUAGUUUACAAAAUAAAUAAAAAAACAAAGUAAAGCAUAUAUUAUUUUAAAUAUUUAAAAUGAAAAUUAUAUUGCAUUUCAAUAUUUUCUAUUUUAGAAAAAAUGAAAAUUUGUUUCAAUAUUUAUGAUUAAAACAUUUAAACUUUGUAAAUAAAAGUUUUUUUAUUAUGUUAUUCAAUAUAUAUAUAUAUAUAUAUAUAUAUAUAUAUAUAUAUAUAAUAUUAAUAUUAUUUUAUAAAUAUUGUUCAGUUCUUAUUUUUUAAUCAUAAAUUUAAUUUUAUACUAAUUUUUAUUUUAUUUUAUUUUGCAAGAUCAUUAAUAUAAAAAAAAUAAAAAUUAAGAAAUAAAUUUAUGAUAUAAGAGAUAUGUAUAUUCUACAUUUUAAGUUUGGAUUAAAAUAUCAUAUGUAGUUUGGCACAUGGGCACAAAAGGCGACUAGUAGUUGAUUGCUUCCCUUCGUAUGAUCAAAAUCUCUAAAAAUCCUAUUGUUCCACCAAAUAGAUGUAUGCUCGUUUGCUAUCAAAUGGAAAAGGAAAACCUAUGGUAUAUGAAUCUGGAUAUUGUCCACAAAGGAAAACCUUAGGUUGUCCAAGUUUCUCAGGUCUCCUAUUUGGCAUUCAUCAUUAUGAUCAAAAUCUAGAUAUUGCUAUCGAAUAAAAGAAACAGCUUAUCAUCUCCACUGUUCUUAUGACUCUGGGAGUUGCAAUUGUUAGUUGGAUUGCCCUUCCAUCAUCCUUCACAAUCUUCAAUUUUGGCUCUCAGAAAGUUGUGAAGAAUUGGUAAGGUUUACAUUGUUAAUUCCUUGGAAAAAAUGGAUAUACAUCUACUAACUCAAUUUGGGUUUGCAGGCAGCUGUUCUUGUGUGUGGGUGUUGGUCUUUGGGCUGGACUUAUUAUUGGGUUUGUAACUGAGUAUUACACUAGCAAUGCAUACAGGUAUCUAUAAUCUCACUGAAUUCCUGCCUUGUUAUAGUCUUCAGCUUUCCUACUCUGAUUCUUGUGUUUCUUUUAUUUGCAGCCCUGUGCAAGAUGUGGCUGAUUCCUACAGGACUGGAACUGCCACAAAUGUCAUCUUUGGCCUUGCUUUGGGAUACAAAUCUGUCAUCAUUCCUAUUUUUGCUAUUGCAGUUAGUAUUUUUGUUAGUUUCAGUUUUGCUGCCAUGUAUGGCAUUGCAGUGGCAGCCCCAGGAAUGCUGAGUACCAUUGCUACUGGGCUUGCUAUUGAUGCUUAUGGUCCCAUCAGUGACAAUGCGGGAGGAAUUGCUGAGAUGGCUGGCAUGAGCCACAGAAUCCGAGAGAGAACUGAUGCACUUGAUGCCGCAGGCAACACCACUGCUGCCAUUGGGAAGGUAAAUCACAUCUGUAGGUUGGUUCUAAUGUUGUCAUUGAAAAGUGUCUUAUCAUCACAUGCAUUAUGCAAGGUACAAAUCCAUGAAGGGUAAGUAUCCUUAGACGAAAGGCUCAUCCUAUCAUGCAUAUGGCUUUUGACUAGGCCUAUAAAUUGAUGAAACUCAAUUUUUGAAUUUGGAAUAAAAUAUCUCAGUAUAAAUUUUCAGAGUGUGUAGAGGCGUUGUAGUUCAUUUUUGUGUUAAACUAAUGCCACUCCUAUGAGCAGUAAGCCAGAAGGUUCUAUUCACAACUUGUAAGUGGUGAGCUGCCUGUUGGUUAUCUUAACUAAUGUGAAGCAAACUCAGUCCGUACAAUGCAGCUUUGCUGUGUAAUUUGUUAUUGAAAUCUAAUUGUGCACAUUUCUUUUAGCUUCACUUAGCUGUUUGUAACUUCAUUUUUUAUGUUUGAUUUACAUUUGUUCUCAGGGAUUUGCAAUUGGAUCUGCGGCACUCGUGUCUUUGGCACUGUUUGGUGCCUUUGUAAGUCGUGCAUCGAUCUCAACUGUUGAUGUCUUGACUCCAAAGGUCUUCAUUGGUUUGCUUGUUGGUGCAAUGCUUCCUUACUGGUUCUCAGCCAUGACCAUGAAGAGUGUGGGACGUGCAGCUCUUAAGAUGGUUGAGGAGGUUCGCAGACAGUUCAACACCAUUCCAGGUCUGAUGGAGGGCCUUGCCAAGCCUGAUUAUGCCACUUGUGUCAAGAUCUCUACUGAUGCAUCCAUUAAGGAGAUGAUUCCACCUGGUGCCCUUGUCAUGCUCACACCCCUUAUCGUUGGGACCUUCUUUGGCGUGGAGACUCUAUCUGGAGUACUAGCUGGCUCCCUUGUUUCUGGUGUCCAGGUAAUAUCAUGAUCAUUAAAUGUAUAAUUGGAAUUUCAUGGUUUCUGAUCUAUUAAAAAAAAACAAGCAGUUUAUCUUAAAAAUAUCAUGAAUUAUGCGAAGAAAAGUCAGGGUUGAAUUUAAGUUAGUGAAAUUUGGGAACAAAAUCUUGUUAGGUGUGUUUAGCAAUAUAGACAUGCAUGAGUAGUCAGAGACUUCGCAAAGAAACAAAAUGCUUAUCUGAAGUACUUUCUGGGAGCUUUGUUUUUGGCUGUUAAUUGAAAUUUUAUUUUCUGAUUUGCUCUUUUGGAUGUGUGCUUUUAACAGAUAGCAAUCUCUGCUUCUAACACUGGCGGUGCAUGGGAUAAUGCCAAGAAGUACAUUGAGGUAAGCAUACGGUGAAGUGAGGCUAUAGGUGGUUUCCUCUCUUGGCCCAUGUUUACUGUUAUUAUUGCUUUGACGAUAUUAUUCCAUUGAGUGGUAAUUUUUGGAAUUUUGUUGUUAGGCUGGUGCUUCCGAGCAUGCAAGGACCCUUGGCCCAAAGGGGUCUGAUCCACACAAGGCAGCUGUGAUUGGUGACACCAUUGGAGACCCACUGAAGGACACCUCAGGCCCAUCGCUCAACAUCCUUAUCAAGCUCAUGGCAGUGGAGUCUCUCGUCUUUGCUCCCUUUUUUGCCACUCAUGGUGGGUUGCUUUUCAAGAUCUUCUGAGGAAUGGGAUGAUGAAAAAUACAUGGGCAAAGGGGUGAUUAGCCCUUUUUUCCCCAGUAUUUAUUCGGCACAUCUCUCACCAAUUCAUCUAAUCUCCAUAUCCAUCCAUCCCCACAUUGUGAGUUUUUCAAGUUAGUUUCUAUGUUUAGGGAAAUAUUAUUUUUGAAGGG
This 27162-nucleotide long non-coding RNA is filed under the name Vitis vinifera (wine grape). RNAcentral's name for it is "long non-coding RNA (VVIN_LNC002842)". The record is from RNAcentral. Lineage: Eukaryota; Viridiplantae; Streptophyta; Magnoliopsida; Vitales; Vitaceae.